This 300-nucleotide ribosomal RNA is filed under the name uncultured Bacillus sp. RNAcentral's name for it is "bacterial SSU rRNA". It matches the Rfam family "Bacterial small subunit ribosomal RNA", at positions 497 to 795 of the family's 1533-position model. Lineage: Bacteria; Bacillati; Bacillota; Bacilli; Caryophanales; Bacillaceae. The record is from RNAcentral.
UCAAUCUAGGGCGCGGCGGCGGGGGUAAUAGAGAGGCGUGAAUCGUUGGUCUGAUUCAUUGGGCGUAAAGGGUGCGCAGGCGGUGUGUUAAGUCCGAUGUGAAAUUUCACAGCGUAACUGUGAACGGUCAUUUGAAACUAGCAUGCUUGAGGACUGGAGAGGAGACUGGAAUGGUCGGGGUAGCGGUGAAAUGCGUAGAGAUCGACCAGAACACCGGUGGCGAAGGCGGGUCUCUGGACAGUUCCUGACGCUCAGGCACGAAAGCCAGGGGAGCAAACGGGAUUAGAUACCCCAGUAGUC